This 441-nucleotide ribosomal RNA is filed under the name uncultured bacterium. RNAcentral's name for it is "partial 16S ribosomal RNA". It matches the Rfam family "Bacterial small subunit ribosomal RNA", at positions 338 to 795 of the family's 1533-position model. The record is from RNAcentral.
CCUACGGGUGGCAGCAGUGGGGGAUAUUGCACAAUGGGGGAAACCCUGAUGCAGCGACGCCGCGUGGGUGAAGGAGUAUUUCGGUAUGUAAAGCUCUAUCGGCAGGGAAGAAAUUGGCGGGUCCCUGACUAAAAACCCCCGGCUAACUACGUGCAAGCAGCCGGGGGAAUAGGUAGGGGGCAAGCGUUAUCCGGUUUCAUUGGGUGAAAAGGGGGCGUAGACGGCCGGGCAAGCCUGGGGUGAAGGCCCGGGGCCCAACCCCGGGACUGCUCUGGAAACUGUCCGGCUGGAGUGCGGGAGGGGUAAGCGGAAUUCCUGGUGUAGCGGUGAAAUGCGUAGAUAUCAGGAGGAACACCAGCGGCGAAGGCGGCCUGCUGGACCGCGACUGACGUUGAGGCUCGAAAGCGUGGGGAGCGAACAGGAUUAGAUACCCGGGUAGUC